AGGAUGAACGCUGGCGGCGUGCCUAAUACAUGCAAGUCGAGCGGUAAGGUUCUCACUCUGUAUUUAACGAGUUUGAAUAUAGUGUGAGAAUACACGAGCGGCGGACGGCUGAGUAACGCGUAGGAACGUACCCCAAACUGAGGCAUAAGCUCCGGAAACGGAGUCUAAUACCGCAUAAUAUCUUCGGAUUAAAGCUUCGGCGGUUUGGGAGCGGCCUGCGUAAGAUUAGCUUGUUGGUGAGGUAAAAGCUCACCAAGGCGACGAUCUUUAGCUGGUCUGAGAGGAUGACCAGCCAGACUGGAACUGAGAUACGGUCCAGACUCCUACGGGAGGCAGCAGUAGGGAAUUUUCCACAAUGGACGAAAGUCUGAUGGAGCAACGCCGCGUGCAGGAGGAAGGUCUUCGGAUCGUAAACUGCUUUUAUUGUGACGAUUUUGACGGUAACAAAUGAAUAAGGGUCUGCUAACUACGUGCCAGCAGCCGCGGU
This 487-nucleotide ribosomal RNA is filed under the name uncultured bacterium. RNAcentral's name for it is "SSU rRNA". It matches the Rfam family "Bacterial small subunit ribosomal RNA", at positions 26 to 521 of the family's 1533-position model. The record is from RNAcentral.